Long non-coding RNA from Artibeus jamaicensis (Jamaican fruit-eating bat), 1091 nucleotides. RefSeq lists it as uncharacterized. Lineage: Eukaryota; Metazoa; Chordata; Mammalia; Chiroptera; Phyllostomidae. The record is from RefSeq and is a predicted model, not a curated record. The transcript is spliced from 3 exons.
CCUCGCAGGGCGGACGGCACGCAGUCGGUGCUGAAUGCAUCCGUGUGAACAGGGAGGGGGCAACUGCGUCAAGUGAGGGGACCAGCGAAGCAAGGCCUGGUACAGGACCACCAGGGACAGCUGGAUGGGCUCACCUGGCUUCAGCGCCUUCCCAGCACACGUAGCACCAGCACAGGUGGGACUGGAUUUCUCCAGGAAGACGGCUGGAACCUGCACGACAGCGGUUCUCACACUCAGUCUGGCUGGCUGAUGCCCACAGGUCGGGGAGGACAGGCAAUUCCUGGGCUGCCCUUCCACUCACACUGUAUUUCCAGAAGGUGGUUAUCUGCAAGUGAGCUCCUGUUCUGAGUGAAGCACUGUGCUAGGGGCUUGGGAGAGGUAGACAGAUUGACCUCAACGUGUUGAUUGAGGCAGAAAGAGGCUGUGCUGGUAAAUGGUUAACCACCAGCUUUCCCCAGGGGAAAUAUACUCAAGUGUAGCCUUUGCAAAUUCCUAUGGUAUAAAUAGUCCCACUGUGGCUGAUUUCAAGGGACCGAUGGGACCUCUUGGGAAGAGAUGCACAGAAGCAGGUCUGAGAACAAGCAGAACCUGGCUCCAGCAUAGCACAUGGCAAGGAAGUUUGAAACAUGUCCUGAAGUAGAAGAAUAAAUGUAAUUCUAUAAUCCCUGAACAGGGGAACAAUUCCUUCUGACUGAGCUUCCCAGGGAAGCUUCAGGGAACAAGUGGUCUUUGGUUUGGGCUGGAGGAAACCCAGGGCUUUCUCUGGGGGAGUCAUACAGGGAGGUCCUCCAGCCAGAGAGAGCAGUCCAAGCGGAGGAUGCGCAGACGUGCCCGGUACAUUGGAGGGCAGGUGCCCUGUGUCAGGACCACAGAGACCAGAUCACAGCGGGCCUUCCAGACUUUGCUAAGGAUUUUGUCCUUUAUCUCAUCAGGAGACAGUGUGGGGGAGACACUGAGGCAUCUUAAGAAAGUGACAUUAUAAGAUAUCACUUUCUUUUGUUGUGAUUUUUGAAUCCUUUCUUAUUUUUUCUAAAAAAUUAUGUACGUUCAUUUCAAAAACAAAUUGACCCAUUCAUGCCUUUUUAAUAUUA